CCUACGGGAGGCAGCAGUGGGGAAUAUUGGUCAAUGGCCGAAAGCCUGAUCCAGCGACGCCGCGUGAAGGAAGAAGGCUUUCGGUAUGUAAACUUCUUUUAGCAGGGAAGAAAAAGACGGUACGUGACUAAGAAGCCCCGGCUAACUACGAACCAGCAGCCGCGGUACUACGGAGGGGGCAGGCGUUAUCCGGAUUAACUGGAUGUAAAGGGAGCGUAGGCGGUUUAGCAAGUCAGAAGUGAAAGCCCGGGGCUCAACUCCGGGACUGCCGUUGAAACUGUUGAACUUGAGUGCAGGAGAGGUAAGUGGAAUUCGUAGUGUAGCGGUGAAAUGCGUAGAUAUUACGAGGAACACCAGUGGCGAAGGCGGCUUACUGGACUGUAAAUGACGCUGAGGCUCGAAAGCGUGGGGAGCAAACAGGAUUAGAUACCCGAGUAGUC
RNAcentral lists this ribosomal RNA (440 nucleotides) under uncultured bacterium. RNAcentral's name for it is "partial 16S ribosomal RNA". It matches the Rfam family "Bacterial small subunit ribosomal RNA", at positions 338 to 795 of the family's 1533-position model. The record is from RNAcentral.